GACGAACGCUGGCGGCGUGCUUAACACAUGCAAGUCGAGCGGUAAGGCCCUUUCGGGGGUACACGAGCGGCGAACGGGUGAGUAACACGUGGGUGACCUGCCCUCAGCUCUGGGAUAAGCCUGGGAAACCGGGUCUAAUACCGGAUAUGACUCCAUGACGCAUGUUGUGGGGUGGAAAGCCUUGUGCGGCUGAGGAUGGGCCCGCGGCCUAUCAGCUUGUUGGUGGGGUGAUGGCCUACCAAGGCGACGACGGGUAGCCGGCCUGAGAGGGCGACCGGCCACACUGGGACUGAGACACGGCCCAGACUCCUACGGGAGGCAGCAGUGGGGAAUUUUGGACAAUGGGGGCAACCCUGAUCCAGCCAUGCCGCGUGAGUGAAGAAGGCC
This 387-nucleotide ribosomal RNA is filed under the name uncultured bacterium. RNAcentral's name for it is "bacterial SSU rRNA". It matches the Rfam family "Bacterial small subunit ribosomal RNA", at positions 28 to 416 of the family's 1533-position model. The record is from RNAcentral.